Molecule: unclassified non-coding RNA, 292 nt
Filed under: Gloeomyces sp.
Lineage: Eukaryota; Fungi; Basidiomycota; Agaricomycetes; Russulales; Stereaceae
Also listed under: 2 other names
Description: partial contains 5.8S ribosomal RNA, internal transcribed spacer 2, and large subunit ribosomal RNA
Rfam family: 5.8S ribosomal RNA (bases 1-52)
Source: RNAcentral
AACGCACCUUGCGCCCUUUGGUAUUCCGAAGGGCACACCUGUUUGAGUGUCGUGAAAUUCUCAACCCUCCUCACUUUUGUGGUGGCUGGGCUUGGACUUGGAGGCUUUGCCGGACCGUUCGUGUUCGGCUCCUCUCAAAUGCAUUAGUACGUCUUGUUGCGAUGUACCCUCGGUGUGAUAAUUAUCUACGCUGUGGUGUGCUUGCUUCUGGUGAGACGCGCUUCAAACCGUCCGAAAGGACAAUUCAUCGAAACUUGACCUCAAAUCAGGUGGGACUACCCGCUGAACUUAA